RNAcentral lists this ribosomal RNA (253 nucleotides) under uncultured bacterium. Its description in RNAcentral is "partial 16S ribosomal RNA". It matches the Rfam family "Bacterial small subunit ribosomal RNA", at positions 524 to 776 of the family's 1533-position model. The record is from RNAcentral.
UACGGAGGGCGCGAACGUUAAUCGGAAUUACUGGGCGUAAAGCGCGCGUAGGUGGUUUACUAAGUUGGAUGUGAAAGCCCAGGGCUUAACCUUGGAACUGCAUUCAAAACUAGUAGGCUAGAGUACGAUAGAGGGGGGUAGAAUUCAGAGUGUAGCGGUGAAAUGCGUAGAUAUUCUGAGGAAUACCGGUGGCGAAGGCAGCCCCCUGGAUUGAUACUGACACUGAGGUGCGAAAGCGUGGGGAGCAAACAGG